GAUGAAGAACGUAGUGAAAUGCGAUAAUUAAUGUGAAUUGCAGAAUUCCGUGAAUCAUCGAGUCUUUGAACGCACAUUGCGCCUCAUGGCAUUCCGUGAGGCAUGCCCAUCUCAGCGUUAGAAAAUAUUCUCAAAUUUUAGUUUUGUGCUAAAAUUUGGAUCAUGUCAAGGAAGCUAUUACUAUUAUUGUGAUCGCUCUUUGGAAAUCGAUAGGUCUUUGAGUUGCUACUCAUAGAACGUGAUGAAUCUUUCUUCGUUCUAUUGUAAUUCACUCUGGUAGUCCUAAAACUUGUAUGCCUGUGGCAUAUCUUGUAAUUUGACCUGAGAUUGGGUAGGGAUACCCGCUGAACUUAAGCAUAUCAAUAAGCGGAGGA
Molecule: unclassified non-coding RNA, 374 nt
Filed under: soil metagenome
Description: partial contains internal transcribed spacer 2 and large subunit ribosomal RNA
Rfam family: 5.8S ribosomal RNA (bases 1-120)
Source: RNAcentral